AUGUUUUGCUCCUGGUGCUGGCUAAGUACAAGUUGAACUUGAUUAUCUCAGAGGUCCUUCCAACCAUGGUUAAUCUCCACUUCUAUGUGAUUCUGUAGUUUCUCUUGGCAACAACACAGCAAAUAUAAACCAACUUGCCAGGGAAAACAAAUCCACCAGCUCUCUCACACCCAGGAGUACAGAAGAGCAAACAUCUGAGGACAGAGCACUAAUACUCUCUCUUAAUGGUGGGAGAAUUUGAUACAGACAAUAGUGAGACAGUGAUGUGAGUUUGAGGAGUAUAAAAGCUGAGGUUUGGCUCUUAAUUUUUUUUAUAAUAGGUGAAAAAUUACAGGGGCAGAGCUAUUAGGCUGACAGAAAACAGCUAAAUUCUAUUGACUAAAUUUAACAGAGAAAUCUUAUUUUGUCUAGGUGUGAGAUUCUUACCUUUAAUGCAGUUUUCUCUCUGGUAUAAGUUUUCCAUAUUCUGUGUCAUUCUUAUUGUGGCAUGACUUUAAGGCCAGAAAGUUGCAUUAUCAUCUUCAGGAACAGCAUUCACCAGUUAAGCUGACUGCACAUUCCCUAAGUGCCUGUGCUGUUGUCCACGAGGUUGCAUUUAGAACAUUGCUGCAAUGACAAAGCCAAGCCACAAAAAAUCACCAGAGAGAUGGUGCUUUCUGCCUCGUGUUCGGAUUGAUGGUAGUCAGUUUGUGUGUGAUACCUUCUUCCAGCGUGGUAUUGUGUUGGGUAUUGUGUUCAGUUUUGGGCACUGCAAUACAAGAGAGAUGUGGAGGUGCUGGAGCAGGUCCAGAGGAGGGCAACAAAGCUGAUGAAGGGCCUAGAGAACAAAUCUUAUGAGGAGCGACUGAGGGAGCUGGGACUGUUUAGUCUGAAAAAGAGGAGGCUGGAGGGAGACCUCACGGCUGUCUACAACUGCCUGAAGGGAAGUCAUGGAGAGGCUGGCACUGAUCUCUUCUCACAGGUAAUUGGAGACAGAACAAGGGGGAAUGGCCUCAACCUGAGGUUGGGUAGGUUUAAAUUGGACAUUAGGAAAAAGUUUUUUCAUGAAGACCAUGGGCACUGGAAUGAGCUGCCCAGGGAGGUGGUUGAGUCACCGCCCCUGGACGUGUUUAAGAGUUGUUUGGAUGUGGUGUUUAGGGAUAUGGUUUAAGGUGAAUCUCGUCGAGUAGGGUUAUAGGUUGGACUUGAUGAUCCUGAGGGUCUUUUUCAACCUGGUUGUUUCUGUGAUUGAAUGUGGAAUGUUCUUGCUCAGAAAUGCAGACUCUGUUGACUUAGAAGCCAUAUCUUCCAGUGCUCUUCUACUUGCUAUGCUAUUUUACUUUCAGCUAGUCCAUUUUUAAUACUUUUCAUAGUAGAGCCCACAUUUGCAUUUCAUGUCAUAGGUUUGUUUUACUAAUGAAAUGGGAGACCUGAGCUCUGGAUCUGACUCAUGUCAACUACAGAGCACUUCAGGCAUCCCAAUGCUAGAUGAUUAGGAUUAAAAAUAUGAUUGUAAAUGAAUACAUGUCUACUUUUCCUUGCCUUUUGUGAUACACAGCUGUCAUCUCUAGAAGUGCUUCCAUUUUACCCCUUCUUUGUGGUAAAACAAGAAUCAGGCCCGAGAAAGAAAACAAGCACACUUGGGGGCAAAAAUAAAAGGUGUAGAACCUUUGAGCUGGGCUACAAUUUUUAUCAAGGAAUAAAGUUCAUGAUCUUGACAUCACUGUAAGUAAUACUUGACAGUAAAGGAUGGAUUUAUGAAGGGAACUUAAGCAACUCCAUGUCUAAAUUAAAGAUGCUGUUCCAGAAGGCAAAAUAUGAAAUGCAAUGCAUGAGAGACGAAUCAAAGAACAGAGUUUGUGCAUGAAGAAGUUGUUAUGGUGACCUUACAUUUUGUAUGAUGCUAACACCUACCACUUCACCUUAUGCAACAGGAUAUAGAACAAUUGCAUGGGGAUCUCUGAGCAGUCCAUUCCAGGCCAGAAACGUAAACUGAUGUCUCCCAGGUUAUACCAGGAUAUAAAAAACAGGAGGGGAGGCUUCAAAUGCCAUCAGACUACUUCUCAUGCUUGCUGAGAAAAUGCAUAUCCUUUUUCUCUAGGCGAUAGAUCACCAUCCUCAGCCCAGGAAAUAUUACUUCUACUCAAAUGUGAGCUCUGUAAGCAAGCACCUAAACUAGGGACACCUAAGGAAAUGAAGAUGUGGUUGAGGACCUCUGUGGAAUGACCCCGUAACAGCUGCAAGUGAAUUGCUCUGGAACAAUCCCUUUGCAGUCAGAUCUUCACCAGUGAGCUCAUAACUAUUGCAUGAACAUGUUGCUGAAACAUACAUACAUCUGAAGAAACAACAAAAGAAAUAUUUUUUUCCACAGAAUCACAGAAUUUCUUAGAUUGGAAAAGACCUUCAAGAUCAGCAAGUCCAAUCAUUUGUUCCAUACUGACAAGUCCUUGACUAAACCAAAUCCCUCAGCACAACAUCUAAUCACUGUGAAUUACUAUGGUUGGAAAGGACCACCAGGAUCAUCCAGUCCAACCUUCAUUCCAGCAUCCUUAAUCACUAGUCCAUAGCCUUAAGUGCCACUUCCACUCUCUUUUUAAACACCUCCAGGGACGGUGACUCCAUCACCUCCCUGGGCAGCCUGUUCCAAUGCCUGACCACCUGCUCAGUAAAGAACUUCCAACAUCCAACCUAAACCUCCCCUGACACAACUUGAGGCCAUUUCCUCUUGUCCUAUCAUUAGUAAUUUGGGAGAAGAGACCAGCUCCAGCCUCACUACAACCUCCUUUUGGGUAUUUUUUUUUUGUGAAAGCCAGAUUUAAAGGAGAAAAUGAGGUGGUGUUUCAGCUUAGUUUGUUGUGUACAUAGGUUCUGGACAUGGAAAUAAGGCAUAAGUAGAAUAUAGAUGCUCCCUUCCAAUCCAGUGCAAUCUCUCAAUCUGUGAAUAAGUAGUGGAAACAGGUGAGCAUUGGAUUCUGCUGAAAAAUGGGCUGAUCAAGAGAAGAAAAAGAAAAGUCAGUUUCCUCUCAGAGGGGAAGGAGGUAAAGGAAGUGAAAGGGCAAAAAAAAGCACAAAAAAUGUUAUUGGGACAAUCUGAUACUUCACAAGCAUAACUGCAUGAAUCAUAACCUUGUGCACACUUGAAAGCCAGAGAAAGGGAUUAGAUUCCGAAGAAGGGUGGAUGUUAGUAGGGUAAAAAGUUGAAAGAGAGAAAAUUUAAAUGUCAUAUACAAUGCCAUAUCAUCUCACAGACUGCAGUUCAUGCCAGUAGUGUGAGAAAGCACAGGGUAACAUGAAAACAAACAGGGCCACUGAGUUAUCAUGGUAUAUAUAAAUACAGGGUGUAAGAAUGUUCCAAAGAGAAGGAAACUGUUUGGUAUAGUAAUAUUAAAUGCAGUGAUGCUAUAGAAUUGUCUGACUGUGGUACAGCUAUUGGAAAUUGAGAUAGUGGAACAUAAGCCGUGGACAGGCAAGAGUGCACGAGCUCAGAAGUACUGACAGAAGGUUGGAAUGACCUUAGAGAACGGUAUAACAAAUAUCAACAAAUGUAAUGCUGGAGCCUGUGGUUUUCACCUAUCUCUGCUGGCAGAAUCCUUAGACACAAUGUACGUUUUGCUGAGAGAACAUGAUGAAUGUCUACGCUAAUCUCUAACACAAGUACAUGUAACCAAUUUCAGUUUAAUACAAUUUGUAGUUUUCUGAUGAAAGGUAUAAAAACACAUGUUUGGAAUGCAAUAAAUAGAUUGGAUUGAAUUUGGAUUGGCUUGCAUCAAGCUUGCUUCUCCCCGUCUCAGCU
Molecule: long non-coding RNA, 3772 nt
Organism: Pogoniulus pusillus (Red-fronted tinkerbird)
Lineage: Eukaryota; Metazoa; Chordata; Aves; Piciformes; Lybiidae
Exons: 4
Source: RefSeq, a predicted model, not a curated record